Molecule: ribosomal RNA, 492 nt
Filed under: uncultured bacterium
Lineage: Bacteria
Description: partial 16S ribosomal RNA
Rfam family: Bacterial small subunit ribosomal RNA
Source: RNAcentral
AGUGAACGCUGGCGGUAGGCCUAACACAUGCAAGUCGAACGGCAGCACAGUAAGAGCUUGCUCUUACGGGUGGCGAGUGGCGGACGGGUGAGGAAUACAUCGGAAUCUACUUUUUCGUGGGGGAUAACGUAGGGAAACUUACGCUAAUACCGCAUACGACCUACGGGUGAAAGCAGGGGAUCUUCGGACCUUGCGCGAUUGAAUGAGCCGAUGUCGGAUUAGCUAGUUGGCGGGGUAAAGGCCCACCAAGGCGACGAUCCGUAGCUGAUCUGAGAGGAUGAUCAGCCACACUGGAACUGAGACACGGUCCAGACUCCUACGGGAGGCAGCAGUGGGGAAUAUUGGACAAUGGGCGCAAGCCUGAUCCAGCCAUACCGCGUGGGUGAAGAAGGCCUUCGGGUUGUAAAGCCCUUUUGUUGGGAAAGAAAAGCAGCAGGUUAAUACCCCGCUGUUCUGACUGUACCCAAAGAAUAAGCACCGGCUAACUUCGUG